RNAcentral lists this ribosomal RNA (1201 nucleotides) under human gut metagenome. Its description in RNAcentral is "bacterial LSU rRNA". It matches the Rfam family "Bacterial large subunit ribosomal RNA", at positions 1324 to 2547 of the family's 2925-position model. The record is from RNAcentral.
AGAAUCCUCUUGGCCGAAUAUCUAAGGUUUCCAGGGUAAAGCUGAUCUGCCCUGGGUAAGUCGGGGCCUAAGGCGAGGUCGAAAGACGUAGUCGAUGGACAACAGGUUGAAAUUCCUGUACUAUCCUGUAACAGAACUGUGGGGACGCAGAGAGAGAGCGUGAGCCGGGAAUGGAAAGACCGGUGCAAGCGAGGUAGGAGUCUGGUAGGCAAAUCCGCCAGGCAAUCCGAAGACGUGACGCGGACCGAAAACAAGUAGGGAAGCACGUGAGCUGACUGCCAAGAAAAGCCGCUAUUGUUUGCAGGAUACCCGUACCGUAAACCGACACAGGUGGAUGAGGAGAGAAUCCUAAGGCCGACGGGAGAAGCAUUGUUAAGGAACUCGGCAAAAUGACUCCGUAACUUCGGGAGAAGGAGUGCCUCGAGAGAGGCCGCAGAGAAUUGGCCCAAGCAACUGUUUAGCAAAAACACAGGUCUAUGCGAAACCGAAAGGUGAGGUAUAUGGGCUGACGCCUGCCCGGUGCUGGAAGGUUAAGGGGAGAGGUUAGCGCAAGCGAAGCUUUGAACUUAAGCCCCAGUAAACGGCGGCCGUAACUAUAACGGUCCUAAGGUAGCGAAAUUCCUUGUCGGGUAAGUUCCGACCCGCACGAAAGGCGUAAUGAUUUGGGCACUGUCUCGACAAUGCACCCGGUGAAAUUGAAGUACCAGUGAAGAUGCUGGUUACCCGCGCCAGGACGGAAAGACCCCAUGGAGCUUUACUCCAGCUUGAUACUGGGAUCCGGUAUUGCAUGUACAGGAUAGGUGGGAGGCUAGGAAGCGGGGACGCCAGUCGCCGCGGAGCCGCUGUUGGGAUACCACCCUUGCAGUGCUGGGUUUCUAACCAGCAGCCGUGAACCGGCUGGGGGACAAUGUCAGGCGGGGAGUUUGACUGGGGCGGUCGCCUCCGAAAGGGUAUCGGAGGCGCUCAAAGGUCCUCUCAGAAUGGUCGGAAACCAUUCGCAGAGCGCAAAGGCAGAAGAGGGCUUGACUGCGACACCGACGGGUGGAGCAGGUACGAAAGUAGGACUUAGUGAUCCGGUGGUAUAAAGUGGGAUUGCCAUCGCUCAACGGAUAAAAGCUACCCUGGGGAUAACAGGCUUAUCACUCCCAAGAGUUCACAUCGACGGAGUGGUUUGGCACCUCGAUGUCGGCUCAUCGCAUCC